CAACAAUGGGCCUCUGGAGUUUGUCCCUCUCACCUUAAUCACUGCGGAAUUUGAUCUCAGGGCCUUUCAUUCCAUUACUACCCCCCAUCUGGCCGCUGCCUGCAGGAGCCAGGCCGGCCCUGCGUCUCCCAUGGGACUAGAGGCCUGGGGGACGGUCACUGCGAGGCUGCUAUUCACAGACCAAAGAGGACUGCAGACUCAAAAUCCAUUAGCAUCUGGAUGGCAACAUAACCAUGCACAUUGGAGACUGAUGCAGUAAGAUGUGAUGGGGCCAGUGUGGGGCUGGAGAGUCUGCACCUCAGUUGAAAUAAUUCAGCGCCCUUCCCCCUACGCCCCCGGGUUGGCUCGAGAGCCACGGACUCCAAUCCCUCGGGCCUCCGCUGAACCUCCCCAGGGCCUCCCGGAGCUGGCUGCCCUGGCGCGGGGGCGGGGGCGGUGGGGGUUGGAGGGCGCAGCCGGCUCCGGGCGGGGAGAGGAGGGGGCGUGGGGGUUGCCGCGCAGCAGCAGGAGCAGCGGAAAGAGAAAGGUGAGGAGGUUUUGGUGGGUUUGGGUUGGAGCCCGAGCCUUGGCCGGGGUAGCUGGUCAGUUUCCGGCCAAGGCUGCAGGUCAAUCCCGGGAAGGGCGGGCGGCCGAGCAGAGGGAGCCGGCGGCGGAGCUCUCCCCUCGGCCCGCGUUCCCCGGCGCCACCGCCACCGCCUUGUCGCCG
Long non-coding RNA from Bos taurus (domestic cattle), 706 nucleotides. The record is from Ensembl. NCBI's taxonomy places the organism in Eukaryota, Metazoa, Chordata, Mammalia, Artiodactyla, Bovidae.